Molecule: ribosomal RNA, 795 nt
Filed under: uncultured bacterium
Lineage: Bacteria
Description: bacterial SSU rRNA
Rfam family: Bacterial small subunit ribosomal RNA
Source: RNAcentral
CUUCGGGUUCAGUGGCGGACGGGUGAGUAACACGUGGGUAACCUGCCUCGGAGUGGGGAAUAACUCGCCGAAAGGCGAGCUAAUACCGCAUACCACUCCCGGUGAGAAUCCGGGUAGUAAAAGUAGUAAUGCGCUCUGAGAGGGGCCCGCGGCCGAUUAGCUUGUUGGUGGGGUAACGGCCUACCAAGGCGACGAUCGGUAGCUGGUCUGAGAGGAUGGUCAGCCACACGGGGACUGAGAUACGGCCCCGACUCCUACGGGAGGCAGCAGCUAAGAAUCUUGCGCAAUGGGCGAAAGCCUGACGCAGCAACGCCGCGUGGAGGACGAAGGCCCUCGGGUUGUAAACUCCUUUUGCGAGGGAAGAAGAUCUGACGGUACCUCGCGAAUAAGCCACGGCUAACUACGUGCCAGCAGCCGCGGUAAUACGUAGGUGGCGAGCGUUGUCCGGAUUUACUGGGCGUAAAGAGCCCGCAGGCGGCCCGUUAAGUUUCAGGUGAAAUCUCCCGGCUCAACCGGGAGGGUGCCUGGAAAACUGGCAGGCUUGAGGCAGGGAGAGGGAUGUGGAAUUCCCGGUGUAGUAGUGAAAUGCGUAGAUAUCGGGAGGAACACCAGUGGCGAAGGCGGCAUCCUGGCCCUGUCCUGACGCUCAGGGGCGAAAGCGUGGGGAGCAAACCGGAUUAGAUACCCGGGUAGUCCACGCCGUAAACGAUGAGUACUAGGGGUGGGGGGUAUCGACCCCCUCCGUCCCGAAGCUAACGCGAUAAGUACUCCGCCUGGGGACUACGGCCGCAAGGC